ACCUGCCUUGUAGCGGGGGAUAACUAUUGGAAACGAUAGCUAAUACCGCAUAACAAUGGAUGACACAUGUCAUUUAUUUGAAAGGGGCAAUUGCUCCACUACAAGAUGGACCUGCGUUGUAUUAGCUAGUAGGUGAGGUAAUGGCUCACCUAGGCGACGAUACAUAGCCGACCUGAGAGGGUGAUCGGCCACACUGGGACUGAGACACGGCCCAGACUCCUACGGGAGGCAGCAGUCGGGAAUCUUCGGCAAUGGGGGCAACCCUGACCGAGCAACGCCGCGUGAGUAAAGAAGGUUUUCGGAUCGUAAAGCUCUGUUGUAAGUCAAGAACGGGUGUCAGAGUGGAAAGUUCACACUGUGACGGUCGCUUACCAGAAAGGGACGGCUAAAUACGUGCCAUCUGCCGCGGAAAUACGUAGGUCCCGAG
RNAcentral lists this ribosomal RNA (427 nucleotides) under Streptococcus thermophilus. RNAcentral describes it as "bacterial SSU rRNA". It matches the Rfam family "Bacterial small subunit ribosomal RNA", at positions 124 to 538 of the family's 1533-position model. The record is from RNAcentral. Lineage: Bacteria; Bacillati; Bacillota; Bacilli; Lactobacillales; Streptococcaceae.